This 490-nucleotide ribosomal RNA is filed under the name uncultured bacterium. Its description in RNAcentral is "partial 16S ribosomal RNA". It matches the Rfam family "Bacterial small subunit ribosomal RNA", at positions 29 to 506 of the family's 1533-position model. The record is from RNAcentral.
GUGAACGCUGGCGGUAGGCCUAACACCUGCAAGUCGAACGGCAGCACAGUAAGAGCUUGCUCUUACGGGUGGCGAGUGGCGGACGGGUGAGGAAUACAUCGGAAUCUACUUUUUCGUGGGGGAUAACGUAGGGAAACUUACGCUCAUACCGCAUACGACCUACGGGUGAAAGCAGGGGAUCUUCGGACCUUGCGCGAUUGAAUGAGCCGAUGUCGGAUUAGCUAGUUGGCGGGGUAAAGGCCCACCAAGGCGACGAUCCGUAGCUGGUCUGAGAGGAUGAGCAGCCACACUGGAACUGAGACACGACCCAGACUCCGACGGGAGGCAGCAGUGGGGAAUAUUGGACAAUGGGCGCAAGCCUGAUCCAGCCAUACCGCGUGGGUGAAGAAGGCCUUCGGGUUGUAAAGCCCUUUUGUUGGGAAAGAAAAGCAGCAGGUUAAUACCCCGCUGUUCUGACGGUACCCAAAGAAUAAGCACCGGCUAACUUCGU